UAGGGUUUGAUUCUGGCUCAGGAUGAACGCUGGCGGUAUGCUUAACACAUGCAAGUCGAACGAAAGUUUUUAACUUUAGUGGCGAACGGGUGCGUAAUACGUGAGAAUCUGCCCUUAGGAGAAGAAUAACUACUGGAAACGGUUGCUAAAUCUUCAUAUACCGAGAGGUGAAAUAGCUUCGGCUGCCAAAGGAUGAGCUCGCGCCUGAUUAGCUAGUUGGUAAGGUAAUGGCUUACCAAGGCCACGAUCAGUAGCUGGUUUGAGAGAACGAUCAGCCACACUGGGACUGAGACACGGCCCAGACUCCUCCGGGAGGCAGCAGUGAGGAAUUUUCCGCAAUGGGCGAAAGCCUGACGGAGCAAUACCGCGUGAGGGAUGAAGGAUUUUGGUCUGUAAACCUCUUUUCUCAAGAAAGAAGUUCUGACGGUACUUGAGGAAUAAGCAUCGGCUAACUCCGUGCCAGCCGCCGCGGUAAUUCA
RNAcentral lists this ribosomal RNA (479 nucleotides) under uncultured cyanobacterium. RNAcentral's name for it is "bacterial SSU rRNA". It matches the Rfam family "Bacterial small subunit ribosomal RNA", at positions 1 to 527 of the family's 1533-position model. The record is from RNAcentral. Lineage: Bacteria; Bacillati; Cyanobacteriota.